AAAUGUACGACUGCGUGCGGAUACGUCUCUGUCUCGUCAACCUGUGGAUAUCAAGCUACCUUUCAUACAAUUAUACGUAGUUAUCUGUAAAAGUGUAAUUCGUUAAUGUGAAUAUACACUUACGCGUGUAAAUACAUAGUUUUUCUAGCGUUUAGAUUGAAAAUUGCAUACAUUGUGUGUAAUUUGUGACAUCUCAACAAAUAAUCACCAGUAAAGCACGAAAUUGCAUCAGCCAGUCCACUUUCAAGUUCUAAGGGAGACGUGAAACAGUGAAAACGUGGCGUAAGAAAGCUGUCUCUACCACUGCGCUGCCCAACCACCGGCCAAGGUUAUACAUUGGUCCCUGUCGAGCUCUUUCAACUGCUAUUGCUGUAACUGCAACAUGUCUUUUCUCCUCCCUUCUGUGUCCAUAUUCAGAUCCAAAACCAUGUCUAAAGCACUCGCUAAAGCAGACCACACUGCUACCCAGCUGGACCAUGCAGAAGGAGACACUGCUGAAAACAAGACCAUAAACAGUGACGCCAACGAGUGUAGGCAACUGGCCAAAGAUUACGCAACAAUGAAAUCUCGUCAAUGUGGCACAUUUUACGACACUCGUGUCACUUGUGUAGUGCCGGUGAUGAUAGGUACAAAAAUAGUAGGGAUGCAUCUUGUUACAGGAUCACCACCUAAUAUAAUAAACCAACAAGCCAUUGACAGCAUACGACAAGUUGCGCCAGAUUGUGUGGACACAAUUCAGCUGGAUAGUGCACUCGAGCUACAAAUGGUUGAUUGUACAAUCAUAAAAACUGAUACCAUCGUAGUUUUAAUAAAAAUGGCCUUUGGAUCUGAAAUUCUUCGCAUGCCUUUCUACAUAAUAGAAUCUAAAACUACAGAACCCAUAUUCAGUAUGGGCGCAACAUCGAUGGAGUAUUACGGGAUCAGUCCGUACAUUCGUGAAAGAUGCGCAAUUUGCCAACCAUCAGGCAAAAAAGCGUUCUUGGUUCCAUACCUCAAACCUGAUCAAUAUGCUGAUGCGCUGUCUCUCUUCAACGUCGAACAUUUAGAGACAUACGCGCGCGACGAAAUUGCACAGGAAAUGGGUAUCAAGCGCAUAAUAUGUAAUACGUAUUAUGUAAUUUAAUUAUAAAAUUUAAAAAUUAGGCUACAAGUAGGUAUACAAAUAGUUUAUAUUCUCAAACAUGAACAAGGUAAUUAAAAUAUUACGCUAAAUCAUAGCUUUUCAUUCUUACCAAAAUGAACGCUCCAGCUAGACUUCUAAAUUCCAACCAACUUCAGGUCCUCCUUUCCGAUGACCCUUCUCAUACAGACGAUGUCAUCAAAUUUCUGUACUCCACAAAAUUGGAUAAAAAAAUUUAAAAUUCAAAUUUAAAACCCAGAUAGCCCAUCUCACUAUAUGUAGGUAUUUAAUUGUAAGUAACUUUAUUUCUAAAUAUAAAUAAUGUAUGUAUACCCUAAUCAAGUAAUCAUAGUUUGUCUUAAUAAUGUAGAGCCUCUAGCCUAAGCUGCUGUAAAUGGCUCUUAAUAAAUAAAUAAAUAAAUAAAUUUCAAGUUU
Molecule: long non-coding RNA, 1555 nt
Organism: Planococcus citri (citrus mealybug)
Lineage: Eukaryota; Metazoa; Arthropoda; Insecta; Hemiptera; Pseudococcidae
Exons: 3
Source: RefSeq, a predicted model, not a curated record